GCCGCAUUAGCUCAAUGGAUAGAGCGACAGACUUCUAAUCUGUAGGCUAGGGGUUCGAGUCCCUUAUGCGGCA
This 73-nucleotide transfer RNA is filed under the name Pseudomonadales bacterium. Its description in RNAcentral is "tRNA-Arg". It matches the Rfam family "tRNA". From Rfam's summary of the family: Transfer RNA (tRNA) molecules are approximately 80 nucleotides in length. Their secondary structure includes four short double-helical elements and three loops (D, anti-codon, and T loops). Lineage: Bacteria; Pseudomonadati; Pseudomonadota; Gammaproteobacteria; Pseudomonadales. The record is from RNAcentral.